UGGCGACCAUAGCAAGAGUGAACCACCUGAUCCCUUCCCGAACUCAGAAGUGAAACCUCUUAGCGCUGAU
This 70-nucleotide ribosomal RNA is filed under the name Acinetobacter baumannii 400834. Lineage: Bacteria; Pseudomonadati; Pseudomonadota; Gammaproteobacteria; Moraxellales; Moraxellaceae. RNAcentral also lists the same sequence under 1 other name. The record is from RNAcentral.